CCUACGGGAGACAGCAGUGAGGAAUAUUGGUCAAUGGGCGCGAGCCUGAACCAGCCAAGUCGCGUGAGGGAAGACGGUCCUAUGGAUUGUAAACCUCUUUUGUCGGGGAGCAAAAGACGCCACGCGUGGCGUUCCGAGAGUACCCGAAGAAAAAGCAUCGGCUAACUCCGUGCCAGCAGCCGCGGUACUACGGAGGAUGCGAGCGUUAUCCGGAUUUAUUGGGUUUAAAGGGUGCGCAGGCGGAAGAUCAAGUCAGCGGUAAAAUUGAGAGGCUCAACCUCUUCGAGCCGUUGAAACUGGUGUUCUUGAGUGAGUGAGAAGUAUGCGGAAUGCGUGGUGUAGCGGUGAAAUGCAUAGAUAUCACGCAGAACUCCGAUUGCGAAGGCAGCAUACCGGCGCUCAACUGACGCUCAUGCACGAAAGUGUGGGUAUCGAACAGGAUUAGAUACCCUUGUAGUC
Molecule: ribosomal RNA, 459 nt
Filed under: uncultured bacterium
Lineage: Bacteria
Description: partial 16S ribosomal RNA
Rfam family: Bacterial small subunit ribosomal RNA
Source: RNAcentral